UUCGAACAGUGGGAAUCUGAACAAUUUUUUUACAAAAAUGUGUGUGAUUCUCACCAAGCUUGAACAGAAGAUCUUUUUAAUAGAGAAACCAUUCAGGUUAGCAGAUUGUCAAGGAUGAUUAUAAAUAUUUAUUUAAAUUAUUACAUUUUAUUAAUAUAUCAUCGCCUUGAACUUUACGAACGAUACCGUAAUGCGAGGAAUUUGGAAAUUUAACAAUCUAAUGUGGCAGUGAUUCAUUUUUGUGGAAGAUUGAGACAAACCCACAUAAUUGAUUUAUACAUGAAAUGUUGCAAACUGAUUUAAAAUCAAAUAAAAUCGGUGCAACCGAACUGAGUUUAGACGCAUUUCUAAUGUGUGGGAUUUCAUAAGUUUAAGCUUUCAUUAGUUUGACCAAUUUUUUAAAUUCUAUCAACAUUCAAAUAAUAUUCAUUUUAGGCCAAUAUCGGCCGGACGGCGCCGGAGGUUACCAACCGGAUGACUCUGGACGGUACGUUCAUGUUCCUAAUCCAUACGAGCAUAUUAUCGGACCUCAAGGAGGAGUGGGUGGAAACGGAGGCGUAGGAGGCACUGGGGGAGGAGGAGGUCUUGGACCUGGAGGGCCUGGAGGACCUGGAGGACCUGGAGGCCCGGGUGGACCAGGAGGCCCAGGGGGACCAGGAGGCCCAGGGGGACCAGAAGGUUUUCUGCAGCCUCCAGGACCUCCAGGACCUCCAGGACCUCCAGGACCUCCAGGACCGUUCGGACCACCAGGACCUCCCGGACCGCCUGGCCCUCUAGGAGGCUUUGGGCCGAACCCAUUUGGAUCCGUACCAGAGCAUCCACCUAGUUUAAAUCUUAAUUAUUUGCCGGUUAAAAAAUAACAUGUAAACUAGAGCUUCGGAAGUGUAAAAGGGCUACGAAGCAACGGCUGGAUUCAGAGUCAUUCAUGCCUUUUUCUAAGACGGCUCAUGCGAAAACUAAAAACUGAAACAAGGUGAAACUUGCAAUAACAGCAUUGUAGCAUUGUAAAAAACAUUUAUAACAAAAAUACAUAUGAAAUAUUACAUAA
Long non-coding RNA from Dendroctonus ponderosae (mountain pine beetle), 1048 nucleotides. RefSeq lists it as uncharacterized. The record is from RefSeq and is a predicted model, not a curated record. The transcript is spliced from 2 exons. NCBI's taxonomy places the organism in Eukaryota, Metazoa, Arthropoda, Insecta, Coleoptera, Curculionidae.